UACGUAGGGGGCCAGCGUUGCUCGGAAUUACUGGGCGUAGAGGGUUCGUAGGCGGUGCGGUAAGUUGGGAGUGAAAUCUCUGGGCUUAACUCAGGGGCUGCUUUCAAAACUACCGUGCUCGAGUGCGAGAGAGGUCAGUGGAAUUGCAGGUGUAGCGGUGAAAUGCGUAGAUAUCUGCAGGAACACCCGUGGCGAAGGCGGCUGACUGGAUCGCAACUGACGCUGAGGAACGGAAACUAGGGGAG
Molecule: ribosomal RNA, 245 nt
Filed under: uncultured bacterium
Lineage: Bacteria
Description: partial 16S ribosomal RNA
Rfam family: Bacterial small subunit ribosomal RNA
Source: RNAcentral